This is a non-coding RNA of Daphnia pulex (common water flea), 247 nucleotides long. The record is from Rfam. NCBI's taxonomy places the organism in Eukaryota, Metazoa, Arthropoda, Branchiopoda, Diplostraca, Daphniidae.
UACCUGGUUGAUCCUGCCAGUAGCAUAUGCUUGUCUCAAAGAUUAAGCCAUGCAUGUCUAAGUACAAGCCGCUAGACGGCGAAACCGCGAAUGGCUCAAUAAAUCAGUUAUGGUUCCUUAGAUCCACUCCAUCCUACUUGGAUAACUGUGGUAAUUCUAGAGCUAAUACAUGCACUCGAGCCUCGACUGCGGGCUUUCGGGCUCGCAGAAGAGGUGCUUUUAUUAGAUCAAAACCAGUCGGGGCCGG